AAUACAAGCUGUUCUAUCGCCGCGAUCUUGUAUCGGGGAGGAAAGUCCGGGCAACAUAGAGCAUCUCGCUUCCUAACGGGAAGGCAUUUGGGAAUGAAGACCUAAAUGACGGAAAGUGCCACAGAAAAUAUACCGUCUCAACGUAAAGUCGGGAUAAGGGUGAAAACGUGAGGUAAGAGCUCACGAACUCGUUAAGUGAUUAACGUUUUGGUAAACCUCGGGAGUUGAAAGACCAAAUAGGCUAACGCAUGUAGAGCUGCUCGCUCGAUGUUAGUGGGUAGGUCGUUAGAGAUAAAUGGCAACGUUUAUAGUAGAUUAAUGGUAGAAUUUCGAUUUAUCGGAAACAGAACCCGGCUUACAGGCUUGUAUUUUUU
Molecule: RNase P RNA, 374 nt
Filed under: Pedobacter boryungensis
Lineage: Bacteria; Pseudomonadati; Bacteroidota; Sphingobacteriia; Sphingobacteriales; Sphingobacteriaceae
Description: RNase P RNA component class A
Rfam family: Bacterial RNase P class A
About the family: Ribonuclease P (RNase P) is a ubiquitous endoribonuclease, found in archaea, bacteria and eukarya as well as chloroplasts and mitochondria. Its best characterised activity is the generation of mature 5'-ends of tRNAs by cleaving the 5'-leader elements of precursor-tRNAs.
Source: RNAcentral